Molecule: ribosomal RNA, 253 nt
Filed under: uncultured bacterium
Lineage: Bacteria
Description: partial 16S ribosomal RNA
Rfam family: Bacterial small subunit ribosomal RNA
Source: RNAcentral
UACGUAGGUCGCAAGCGUUGUCCGGAUUUACUGGGCGUAAAGAGCGCGCAGGCGGCUGGUCAAGUCCGAUGUGAAAUCUCCCGGCUCAACUGGGAAACUGCAUCGGAAACUGAUCGGCUUGAAGGUGGGAGAGGGUAGUGGAAUUCCCAGUGUAGAGGUGAAAUUCGUAGAUAUUGGGAAGAACACCGGUGGCGAAGGCGGCGCUCUGGACCGAGACUGACGCUGAGGCGCGAAAGCGUGGGGAGCAAACAGG